UACGUAGGGGGCUAGCGUUGUCCGAAGUUACUGGGCGUAAAGCGCGCGUAGGCGGGUUGGUAAGUCCGCUGUGAAAGCCCGGAGCUCAACUCCGGAGGGUCGGUGGAUACUGCCAGUCUUGAAGGUGCUAGGGGGAGAUGGAAUUACCGGUGUAGCGGUGAAAUGCGUAGAUAUCGGUAGGAACACCAGUGGCGAAGGCGGUCUCCUGGGGCAUUCUUGACGCUGAGGCGCGAAAGCUGGGGGAGCGAACGGG
RNAcentral lists this ribosomal RNA (253 nucleotides) under uncultured bacterium. RNAcentral's name for it is "partial 16S ribosomal RNA". It matches the Rfam family "Bacterial small subunit ribosomal RNA", at positions 524 to 776 of the family's 1533-position model. The record is from RNAcentral.